CCUACGGGCGGCAGCAGUGAGGAAUAUUGGUCAAUGGACGAGAGUCUGAACCAGCCAAGUAGCGUGAAGGAUGACUGCCCUAUGGGUUGUAAACUUCUUUUAUAUGGGAAUAAAAUGUUCCACGUGUGGGAUUUUGUAUGUACCAUAUGAAUAAGGAUCGGCUAACUCCGUGCCAGCAGCCGCGGUAAUACGGAGGAUCCGAGCGUUAUCCGGAUUUAUUGGGUUUAAAGGGAGCGUAGGUGGAUUGUUAAGUCAGUUGUGAAAGUUUGCGGCUCAACCGUAAAAUUGCAGUUGAAACUGGCAGUCGUGAGUACAGUAGAGGUGGGCGGAAGUCGUGGUGUAGCGGUGAAAUGCUUAGAUAGCACGAAGAACUCCGAUUGCGAAGGCAGCUCACUGGACUGCAACUGACACUGAGGCUCGAAAGUGUGGGUAUCAAACAGGAUUAGAUACCCCAGUAGUC
RNAcentral lists this ribosomal RNA (460 nucleotides) under uncultured bacterium. RNAcentral's name for it is "partial 16S ribosomal RNA". It matches the Rfam family "Bacterial small subunit ribosomal RNA", at positions 338 to 795 of the family's 1533-position model. The record is from RNAcentral.